Peromyscus californicus insignis is the source of this 1551-nucleotide long non-coding RNA. RefSeq lists it as uncharacterized. The record is from RefSeq and is a predicted model, not a curated record. Lineage: Eukaryota; Metazoa; Chordata; Mammalia; Rodentia; Cricetidae. The transcript is spliced from 2 exons.
AAAGAAACAAGUGAGCAGCCAGCCUCAGUGACACCAAAGCAACCCAGAAGUUCCUUCACUCAGGACAGGUGCCUUUGGAGCCACUCUAUCCGAAGGAAUCAGUCCUACACGCCACAGGGCCUACAAGCUAUGUGAGCCCGGAGAGCAACACUGACCAUACCAGAUUUCAGUGGAAUGAAGCCAUACCUGUCAAGCUGAGAUACAGUUCUAACAGUGUGAUGAAUCUCUUGAUCUGUGCAGGACAUGUGUGCACCAUGUGCUACAGGGCCUGCCCAACCAUCCUGUACAGAGAUAGAGGACAUACACAGUCCUGUAGGUGCCGGGGUCCCUGUCCUGUCACUCAGCUCCAUCACCAAAGCACAGAAGUGCGAAAGCCCUUACAGAGAAACGGGCUUGGAGAGAAAUGGGUGUGGUUGUGUGCUCUGAAAGAUGUGUUUAUAAGGGUCAUGAAAUCUGAAUCUAAGGGUUGGAGAGAUGGACAGGCUAAGUCCGUGGAUAGAGACAGACAGUUAAGGGCACAGGCUGCUCUUCCUGAGGACCUGGGUUCAAUUCUCAGCACCCCCAUGGCAGCUCACAACUGUCUAUAACUCUAGUUCCAGGGGGUUUAACAUCCUCACACAGACAACACUCAGGCAAAACACUAAUACACAUGAAAUAUAAAUAAAUAAAUCAUUAAAAAAAUCUGAAUUUUACAUGAUUUUUCAUACACUGAGAAAUAUUAGAUUUGUUUGCAUUAUUCUCCAGACCUUUAAGAAAUGAAGUUCUGCUGGGCAGUAGUGGCACAUGCCUUUAGUCCCAGCACUCACAAGGCAGAGGCAGGUGGAUUUCUGUGAGUUUCGAGGCCAGUCUAGUCUACAAAGUAAGUUUCAGGAUAGCCUGGGCUGUUACACAGAGAAACCCUGUCUCAAAAAACCAAACCAAUCAAACAAACAAAAACAACCCCUCCCCCCAAAUUAUUUUAUUUGUAUGAGUGUUUUGCCUGCAUGUGUGUAUGUGCACCACGUGCAUGCCUGGUGUUCUUGGAAGUCAGAAGGUAGCCUCAGACCCCCUAGAACUGGAGUUGUGAUUGUGAGCCACCAUGUGGGUGCUGGGAACCAAACCCAGGUCCUCUGCAAGAACAGCUAGUGCUCUCAACUGCUGAGCCAUCUCUCUAACCACCCCCCACCCCUAUGUUUGGCAAUGCUAGAGAUGGAACCCAGGGCUUCAUGCUAAGCAAGCCCUCUACCACUGAGCUACAUCCUGGGCCAUUUUUAAUUUGUUUGUUUAUUUUGUUUUGAGACAACUGGAGAUCUUCCUGCUUCUGUCUCCCAGUAGCUGAGUGAAGGUAUGCUCUACAAUGCUUAGCCUGCUUUGCCAAACUUGUUAAGAAUACAUGAACAGCCGGGCAAUGGUGGCACACGCCUUUAAUCCCAGCAUUUGGGAGGCAGAGCCAGGUGGAUCUCUGUGAGUUCGAGGCCAGCCUGGGCUACCAAGUGAGUUCCAGGAAAGGCGCAAAGUUACACAGAGAAACCCUGUCUCAAAAAAAAACCAAAAAAAAAAAAAAAGAAAGAA